This 440-nucleotide ribosomal RNA is filed under the name uncultured bacterium. RNAcentral's name for it is "partial 16S ribosomal RNA". It matches the Rfam family "Bacterial small subunit ribosomal RNA", at positions 338 to 795 of the family's 1533-position model. The record is from RNAcentral.
CCUACGGGCGGCAGCAGUGGGGAAUAUUGCACACUGGGGGAAACCCUGAUGCAGCGACGCCGCGUGAGUGAAGAAGUAUUUCGGUAUGUAAAGCUCUAUCAGCAGGUAAGAAAAUGACGGUACCUGAUUAAGAAGCCCCGGCUACCUACGUGCCAGCAGCCGCGGUAAUACGUAGGGGGCAAGCGUUAUCCGGAUUUACUGGGUGUGAAGGGUGCUUAGACGGCAGGACAGGUCUGGAGUGAAAUGCCGGGGCUUAACCCCGGAACUGCUUGGGAAACUGUGCAGCUAGAGUGCAGGAGAGGUAAGGGGAAUUCCUAGUGUAGCGGUGAAAUGCGUAGAUAGUAGGAGGAACACCAGUGGCGAAGGCGGCUUACUGGACUGUAACUGACGUUGAGGCUCGAAAGCGUGGGGAGCAAACAGGAUUAGAUACCCUUGUAGUC